RNAcentral lists this ribosomal RNA (492 nucleotides) under uncultured bacterium. RNAcentral describes it as "partial 16S ribosomal RNA". It matches the Rfam family "Bacterial small subunit ribosomal RNA", at positions 29 to 507 of the family's 1533-position model. The record is from RNAcentral.
AGUGAACGCUGGCGGUAGGCCUAACACAUGCAAGUCGAACGGCAGCACAGUAAGAGCUUGCUCUUACGGGUGGCGAGUGGCGGACGGGUGAGGAAUACAUCGGAAUCUUCUUUUUCGUGGGGGAUAACGUAGGGAAACUUACGCUAAUACCGCAUACGACCUACGGGUGAAAGCAGGGGAUCUUCGGACCUUGCGCGAUUGAAUGAGCCGAUGUCGGAUUAGCUAGUUGGCGGGGUAAAGGCCCACCAAGGCGACGAUCCGUAGCUGGUCUGAGAGGAUGAUCAGCCACUCUGGAACUGAGACACGGUCCAGACUCCUACGGGAGGCAGCAGUGGGGAAUAUUGGACAAUGGGCGCAAGCCUGAUCCAGCCAUACCGCGUGGGUGAAGAAGGCCUUCGGGUUGUAAAGCCCUUUUGUUGGGAAAGAAAAGCAGCAGGUUAAUACCCCGCUGUUCUGACGGUACCCAAAGAAUAAGCACCGGCUAACUUCGUG